RNAcentral lists this ribosomal RNA (948 nucleotides) under bacterium MR.11. RNAcentral's name for it is "bacterial SSU rRNA". It matches the Rfam family "Bacterial small subunit ribosomal RNA", at positions 91 to 1053 of the family's 1533-position model. The record is from RNAcentral.
UCGAGUGGCGAACGGGUGAGUAACACGUGGGUGAUCUGCCCUGCACUUUGGGAUAAGCCUGGGAAACUGGGUCUAAUACCGAAUAGGACUCCGGACUGCAUGGUCUGGGGUGGAAAGCUUUUGCGGUGUGGGAUGGGCCCGCGGCCUAUCAGCUUGUUGGUGGGGUGAUGGCCUACCAAGGCGACGACGGGUAGCCGGCCUGAGAGGGUGUCCGGCCACACUGGGACUGAGAUACGGCCCAGACUCCUACGGGAGGCAGCAGUGGGGAAUAUUGCACAAUGGGCGCAAGCCUGAUGCAGCGACGCCGCGUGAGGGAUGACGGCCUUCGGGUUGUAAACCUCUUUCGCCAGGGACGAAGCGCAAGUGACGGUACCUGGAGAAGAAGCACCGGCCAACUACGUGCCAGCAGCCGCGGUAAUACGUAGGGUGCGAGCGUUGUCCGGAAUUACUGGGCGUAAAGAGCUCGUAGGUGGUUUGUCGCGUUGUUCGUGAAAACUCACAGCUUAACUGUGGGCGUGCGGGCGAUACGGGCAGACUGGAGUACUGCAGGGGAGACUGGAAUUCCUGGUGUAGCGGUGGAAUGCGCAGAUAUCAGGAGGAACACCGGUGGCGAAGGCGGGUCUCUGGGCAGUAACUGACGCUGAGGAGCGAAAGCGUGGGGAGCGAACAGGAUUAGAUACCCUGGUAGUCCACGCCGUAAACGGUGGGUACUAGGUGUGGGUUUCCUUCCUUGGGAUCCGUGCCGUAGCUAACGCAUUAAGUACCCCGCCUGGGGAGUACGGCCGCAAGGCUAAAACUCAAAGGAAUUGACGGGGGCCCGCACAAGCGGCGGAGCAUGUGGAUUAAUUCNAUGCAACGCGAAGAACCUUACCUGGGUUUGACAUGCACAGGACGACUGCAGAGAUGUGGUUUCCCUUGUGGCCUGUGUGCAGGUGGUGCAUGGCUGUC